GAGGCGCGGCACGGGGAACAAAGGCCCACAGAGGGGUCCUGGAGAGCGCGGCUCCCCGGGGACUGGGGCGAGGGCGGCCCCCUCCCCCUCGGCUCCUCCCUCUCCUCCCCUGCUUCUACCCCGAGGCCCGUCGCGCAGCCCGAGCUGCGCCAACUUCGCCAGCGGUUCCCAAGUUGCCAGGGGCGCAGGGGUGGGAGCUGGGUGGGGUGAGGAAGAAAAGGAGGAGGAGGAGGAGUGCUCCCCGGGCGCCUUGGACACGGUUCAGGAAUCCGCCGCCGCUGCCGGCCGCUCGCAGACUCCGGCCGAACGGGGAGGACGCCAGGCAGGACCGCUCGCUCGCUGCGCAGGACGGCGCCCGCCUGGCGCCGCUUCCCGCCCGGCGUGCGAACCGGCGGGGGCGCGCCUCCUUUCCUCCCCGCCACCGUCCCCGGAGGGGGGUGGCGCAGAGCCGGGGCCGCAGGGGCGCUGGAGCCCCGGAGCCCCUUCUCCCUGGUCCUGCCGAGAGGAAGGCAAAGUUGCGGGCGGAUGCUGCCGGCGCCGGACCCCAACCUCGGAGAGUCGGAUACGCCCCCGCUGGAGGAGGCUCGGUGGCGGGAGGUUCUCAACCUGGGAUGAUUUUGUACUUACUCCCUGCCCAGAGGACAUCUGACAAUGUCUGGAGACCUUUUUGAUUGUCACAUCUGAGCAGAGGGGAUUCUACUGUUAUCUAAUGCGUAGAGGCCAAGGAUGCUGUUAAACGUCUUACGGUGCACAGGAUGGCCCCCUCAACAAAGAAUGAUCUGACCCAAAAUGUCAACGGUGCUGACAUAAAAAAGAAUGAAAUAAUGCCAUUUGCAGCAACAUGGAUGGACCUUGAGAUUGUCAUACUGAGUGAAGACCAGGUGUCCCCCACCUGAACGACAAGCCAGGUCCUGAGUGAUGCCCCCGAGCUGAGUGCCCACAGCCCUACCCUUCCCCAUGGAGAAAGGACUCACUUUGCCCCAGGACUGCCGACACCUUCUGCACAGCCUGAGAAUGAGAAGCAAAUAUGCCCUUUUCCUGGCUUUUGUGGUGGUGGUUUUUGUCUUCAUUGAAAAGGAAAAUAAAAUCAUAUCAAGGGUCUCUGACAAACUGAAGCAGAUCCCCCAAUCCCUGGUGGAUGCCAAUAGCACCGACCCAGCCCUGGUCUUGGCCGAGAACGCAUCCCUCCUGUCCCUGAGUGAGCUGGAUUCGGCCUUCACGCAGCUGCAGAGCCGCCUGCGAAACCUCAGUCUGCAGCUGGGCAUGGAGCCAGCAGAGGAGGCCGAGGAGGAGGAGUUGGCGGCCCGCGAGUUAGAGCAGGAGCAGCUGGAGCCCGGCGCGCCCGCUAAGGCCCCGCCCCGGCGCCACGUGCUCCUCAUGGCCACCACGCGCACCGGCUCCUCAUUUGUGGGCGAAUUCUUCAACCAGCAGGGCAACAUCUUCUACCUCUUCGAGCCGCUGUGGCACAUAGAACGCACGGUGUCCUUCGAGCAGGGCGGCGCCAACGCCGCGGGCUCGGCCCUGGUCUACCGCGACGUGCUCAAGCAGCUCUUCCUGUGCGACCUGUACAUCCUGGAGCAUUUCAUCAUCCCGGCGCCCGAGGACCACCUGACCCAGUUCGUGUUCCGCCGGGGCUCCAGCCGCUCCCUCUGCGAGGACCCCGUCUGCACGCCCCUCGUCAAGAAGGUCUUCGAGAAGUACCCCUGCAAGAACCGCCGCUGCGGCCCCCUCAACAUGACUCUGGCCGCCCAGGCCUGCCGCCACAAGGAGCAUAUGGCGAUCAAGGCCGUCCGCAUCCGCCAGCUCGAGUUCCUGCAGCCGCUGGCCGAGGACCCCCGCCUGGAUCUGCGCGUCAUCCAGCUGGUGCGCGACCCCCGCGCCGUGCUGGCCUCCCGCAUGGUGGCCUUCGCCGACAAGUACGAGACCUGGAAGAAGUGGCUGGCCAAGGGGCAGGACCAGCUGAGGGAGGAGGAGGUGCUGCGGCUGAAGGGCAACUGCGAGAGCAUCCGCCUGUCCGCGGAGCUGGGCCUGAGGCAGCCGGCCUGGCUGCGGGGCCGCUACAUGCUGGUGCGCUAUGAGGACGUGGCCCUGCGGCCGCUGCAGAAGGCCCGGGAGAUGUACCGCUUUGCCGGCAUUCCCCUGACCCCGCAGGUGGAGGACUGGAUCCAGAAGAACACGCAGGCGGCCCACGACGGCAUCUACUCCACGCAGAAGAACUCCUCGGAGCAGUUCGAGAAGUGGCGCUUCAGCAUGCCCUUCAAGCUGGCGCAGGUGGUGCAGGCCGCCUGCGGCCCCGCCAUGCGCCUCUUUGGCUACAGGCCCGUGCAGGACGCCGCCUCGCUCUCCAACCGCUCCGUCAGCCUGCUGGAGGAGCGUGGCACCUUCUGGGUCACGUAGGGCGCCCGGGGCGGCCAGCGCCCCUCCUGGUGAAAGUCCCGUCCCGCCCCACCGGCCUCACCCCGCCAGCGGGGAGACCGCGGCGGCGCUGCCGCGGAGGGCGGGCGGGCAGACGUGCAGGGCCGAGGCGGCGCCUGCGCAGUAGAAGUAGGCCCGCAGUCCGCUCGCUUCCCGCCGCGGCUGUAGGCGUGGGGCUUCCUGGUGAGAACAGGACAGUGGCUGUUUUGAGGGCUGUCAAACGCAGACCUAAGGGGCUGUGGUCUCCUGAGCAGACCCAGGCAGGCCCGGGCCUGUUGACAAGCCUUACUCUUCUCUCUCUCUCUCUCUGGCUCUCUCCCCCUCUCCCUCCUUCUUUAUCUCUCUCACACACACAUCCCAAACAUACAUGAAACACACGUGGAUGCCCACAGACCCAGUGGGCCAGAGUCCACAAAUAUUUAACAACCGGAAGGGGUUCCGGGCACUGACUAGUCACACUCAGACCCCCUGCUGUACCCAGUGUACGGAAUUUCAGUUUCUGAAUUUCUCCAUAAUCCAGUGUGACAUCUGGGUGGGUUCCAGGGGAGAGGUGAAGUCAGUUCUAUAUAGGGCUACAAAACAAACAUGCACAUAUAAAGACAGAUACCUACACUCACACCACACAUAGGCAGAAACACACAUACACGCAGAAAAGGAUCUUCCCCAUCGCUUUACGCCCACAGUGUUUAUCUGUAUAACACACCUAAAGAGGAGACUUUGGUUACCUUUUUAGAGUUAAUCAGGGAUGGGGGAAUGAUAUACACUUACGGACCAUGACCCUGGUCCCCAUCCAAGUUUGAGGCUGAAUGGUGGAUACAGAACUGCCAAGUCCAUGGCCUCUGCCCACCUUAGAUUCUCGUGGCUACCUCCCCUGACCCAUUCAUGUCCUUGCUGCCAGCAGGCAGCAUGUUUCGAAAUGGCGUGGCUGACCCUCGUGUGACUGCAGCCCGAAGGCCCAGUCCUAGCUCAGCUGGCUUCCCAAGAGCAUGUCCAUAUUUGAAGGCUGCCUCAGGCGUGAGUGGCAGGAGCAUCUGUGGUCCCUGGAGGCAAAAGGCAGCUCUCAAGUCCUGUUAUUUCCAGCCAGGCCUCUCUGGGGCAAGGCCCAGAAGGAAUUAGAGUGCUUUUGGGGGAGAAGUCAUAUCAGGAUACCCCCUCCCCUGAGAAGACAGGGGACAGAGGUCAGCCACAUGGUUGGUCGUCAUGGUUAUGUGGUUAGUGUCUGAAAUUCCUUCUUUAGGGCUCUGGGAAGAGUAUUGCUCAAUGUGGGAUGGGCUGAGUGGUUUAUGUUUUUUUUUUUUUUUUUAAGUUAUUUAUGGUUUGGUCUCUUGUGGCUGUGUUUUCAGAUUUGUUUCUGCAGGAGUGCUGCUUGGAAGCAGUGUGGGCUUGAGGGGCUGAGGGGGGCUGGGAGGACCAGUGGGGAGCACGUUGGCUCCUGCUAGAGGCAGAAGAGGAGGAGGAGGAGCCUUCCGCCAGAAGGAUCAGAGCCUAGGUGGCCACAUGGCAGCCCACAGUGCCCAUGGGCUUUUCUGUUGGAACCCAUGUGGAACAAAUCUCAGAAACCACCAGCGUUCUUUGCUGAGUGGCCAGAGGCAGCAUAAAUUAGCAAUCCUCACCCCCUCCCCGAGAAGAAGCCAGAUCUGAACAUCUUUCCCAGGUCCUGACAUAUUUCCUGGGGAGUCAGAGGCCCAUGACCAAGCAGCAGAUGUCCCCAAAGGGGAAGCGUUUCCCCACUCCCACCCCAAACGGGAGCAGAACUCAGUACCACCUCAGAACUUGCAGGAAGUAUCAGCAGUUCACUAAGGGCUGUUUCUGAUUUCCUGGACAACCUCUGUAUCAGAUCCAUCCCAUUGUCAAGCCCAGAGGGCUGAGUUUUGUUUUGAGUAUUAUGGGAAGCAGGGAAAUACAGGAUCUGAGUCUAGCUAGUGUUGCCAUAGGGAAGGGAGGGAUGUGUCCUGGCAGCAGGCCAGCCUUUGAAAAGGUGAGGACAGUGGCCAUCUUGUGGGAUCCAUUGCAAUCAGUGCAUUUGAGCUGCUGGGUCUCCAUCACCAUGGAUUCAGCCAAUCACGGAAGUCUGUAGGUUUUCUAGUCCAAGAAUAAAUUGUGCAGGGAACUGGCUCUAAUUUGGGGUCCAAAGGGACUCUAGCUCUGAAAACUUGAUCCUGGGGCAGAGUGGGGCCAGGAUGGUUCUGGCAGGCCCAGAAGUGCUGGCCAUUCUCCCCCAGCCCCUGCCCUGCUCCCUCCACUGUUCCCCACCUGGGGGUGGUGGGGGGCAGGCACCUCUAUCCAGGGCCUGCCCUGGGGCCCUCCUAGUGUGGACAGCAGACUCCCUUCCUUCCUUCCUUCCUUCCUUCCUUCCUUCCUUCCUUCCUUCCUUCCUUCCUUCCUCCCUUCCUUCCUCUCUCUCUGGGGCCAGGGCCUCCACCCCUGAGCUCUGAGAACUGUGCCGAGAAUGGACCUUUGGGACGUCUCAGGACAGUGACAGUUUGUACACUGCAGGUUGACUUAAUUUAUUUAUUUUGUGAAAAAGAAGAGACGGAAAAUAUUUUAUUACUUGCAGGGACUCAAAGCUGUACCCAAAUCAAGAAAGACAAUAAUAGAAAGCAUUCACUUCAUACAUACAAGGACACGUCAAGACGAUUCAGAAUACACGAGAGGACAAAACUGAGAGCAUGGGAGUCACGAUGGCUGCAGGGUAUUUUUUUAGCUCGGUUUCCUCUUGUUGAUUUGAAGAUGCGGCAGGAAGGUCCUUUCUGCUGUAUUACCUUUGUCCAGGUGUCUGAAAUAGGACACAGCUCAAGUGAGUGUUGCCUUGGGAUCAGCAAUGCUCUGGAAACCCUUGGGGAUUAGGGAGGACAGGGUGGGGUGACUGCUGACUCUGUGCUCCAUGGGACCUGGUUGGAGUCACCCAUGAGGGGUUUUCAGCAGGGAGCUGGGCUAGGGAAGGUGGUCCAGUUGGGAGCUAGUGCCUCCUUUUCCAGCCAGGCCAGACCUGGUUUCUCUGCUCUCACUGCACCACCCCCUCCAGGAGCCUUCCCCUCUGCAGCACCCACCUGCCUGGAGACAGAGGGAGCAUUGAGGCCUCACCUCUGCCGCCAGCUUCCCCGGAACAAGAGGCUCAUUCAGCAAUGAGCGUUUACUCAUUUUCUUUCUCUUCAUGAAGACCUCUUUAGCCCAGCCUAUAAAAAUAGUUCAGAACAUUCCAGGUCUUGGUGAGACAGGGCAGUGUCCAACACUCUUAGGCCAUCGCCACCACUGUCCGUUCCUGGCUUCUCCUCUGGGCUUUGUUUAUAAACCUUGGAGGACACUGGGGGAAGGGUCUUUGGGAGCAGGAUUUUUGGGGGCAGGAUUCCUGAGUCCCACGGAGAGGGAAAAAGAAGAAGCAGAUGUGCAGAUCCCUGUAGCACAGCCUCUGCAGGUUAUCGCCAAGUUAUUACUAAGGUUGAGAGACAUGAGAAAAUUCUAGCCUUUUGUCCCUUUAUGGGAUGCACUCACUUGCAAAUAAGUAACUAAAUGAACAGAGAAAAAUGUUUGUCUGCCAGUACCCUCAGCCUGGGAGCUAUGCCAGAGGCUGGUCUAAUGGGGCAGCUGCUGACCAAACCCUUAAGAGCAGAGGACCCACCCAACCCUUUACAAUGACAUCUUUCCCUUCCGCCUCUGCUCUCUGAAUGAGCUCCAGGGGAUCCCUGUCCCAGAAGAUGUAUGCUUGGUCUAGAGAGCAGACAGGAGAUGUAAGCAUCAGAUAGUCUGGUCCUGACCCUAUAGAUCUCUUCCAGCCCUGGUUCUGUGUUAAUUGACUAUGAGACCUAUCCCUUAAGAGGCCCUGGAUUAGGAAAGACAGGGGCGUAAGAUUGGAUGGUUCUGUCCCCAAGGCAGUCCUCUCCCACUCUCAUCCCCAAAGGCUGAAAGCAAAGGUGGGUUCCUGAGGCAGGGAGGGGUGGGUGGGGGAACAGAUGGCCUACAGAGGAUGCUCCUUCUUUGAACUUUUACAGACUGAUGAGAUCCAAGAAGAAGUGGAUCUUGUCAGUCUGCACAAAUUUAAAGAAGGAGCAUCCUCUGAGAUCCAAAGUUAAUGGGUUUGCCUGUGAAGAUUCCUAGCACAUGGGAGAGAGGAGGCCCAGGGUUUCCUGAAAGCAACCAUAUGGCCUUUCAACUGCUAGAGUAGAAGUUGCUCUUUACCUCAAAAGGAUGAAGCAGAAUUGGCAAAUGCAGAUGUCUUAAGAACUUCAAGAUCCUAGGGUCUUGUGACCUUUGUCAUUCCAUACUGUGCAUGGGGAGCUAAUUAGUUACAUGUUUCCAAGAUUACAUGGGGCCAUCUUCAGGGCCUAGCUCAUAUUGUAGACCAGGUAUUUUAUUUGUGAAAUAAAAUGACCUAUGUACCUUGCUUUUUCUAACAUUGGACUUGAACUGGGCACCCCCUAAAAUCUCCAUUUCAUCUGUGCUUUCUAGGCCAAGUCUGACUGGUUGCCUUGUUCCCUCCUGGAUCCUGCAAACUCUUUUUGCCAAGAGUUAUGGCCCUAUGUCAUGUUUCAUGGCCACAUAGUACAGGAUACCUCUUCAUGGCCAUAUGUGGCCAAGGAGACACGGGUUCAAUCCCUGCUCCAGGAAGAUUCCGCAUGCCGAGGAGCAACUAAACCCGUGCACCACAACUACUGAGCCUGCGUGCCACAGCUACUGAAGUCCGAGCACCUAGAGCCUGUGCUCCACAAGAGAAGCCACCACACUGAGAAGCCCAUGAACCUCAACAAAGAGCAGCCCCCACUCACAGCAACUAGAGAAAGCCCAUGCACAGCAACAAAGACCCAAUGCAGCCAAAAGUAAUAAUAAUAAAUAAAAUAAAAAUUUUUUUAAAAUCUGAAAAAAAAGGAUGAGGUCUGAGAGAUAGAUACCCAGACACUGUUGGGCAGGGACAGGAACAUUAGCUAGAGGUCAAGGGACCUGGGGACAGUUUCCAGCCUUGGCAAUCUCCAGUCUUGUGACCUUGGG
RNA transcript from Hippopotamus amphibius kiboko, 7398 nucleotides. It is a transcript of the gene named carbohydrate sulfotransferase 3, with no coding region annotated. The record is from RefSeq and is a predicted model, not a curated record. The transcript is spliced from 5 exons. NCBI's taxonomy places the organism in Eukaryota, Metazoa, Chordata, Mammalia, Artiodactyla, Hippopotamidae.